Molecule: ribosomal RNA, 459 nt
Filed under: uncultured bacterium
Lineage: Bacteria
Description: bacterial SSU rRNA
Rfam family: Bacterial small subunit ribosomal RNA
Source: RNAcentral
AGUGAACGUUGGCGGCGUGGAUUAGGCAUGCAAGUCGAGCGAUCGUAGCAAUACGGGAGCGGCAAACGGGGUAGGAAUACAUCGGAACGUACCUUUUGGUUGAGAAUAGCGUUGGGAAACUGACGGUAAUACUCAAUAAAGUCGAGAGACCAAAGGUUUACUGCCGGAAGAGCGGCCGAUGCGAUAUUAGGUAGUUGGUGGGGUAAUGGCCUACCAAGCCUGAGAUGUCUAGGGGGUGUGAGAGCAUGGCCCCACCACUGGGACUGAGAUACUGCCCAGACACCUACGGGUGGCUGCAGUCGAGGAUCUUCGUCAAUGGGGCGAAAGCCUGAACGAGCGACGCCGCGUGCGGGAUGAAGGCCCUUGGGUUGUAAACCGCUGUCAGGGGGGAUGAAACCGUAAGGUUGACAGAGCCCCAGAGGAAGCACGGGCUAAGUUCGUGCCAGCAGCCGCGGUAAU